AUUGAACGCUGGCGGCGUGCCUAACACAUGCAAGUCGAGCGGCAGCGCGGGAGCAAUCCUGGCGGCGAGCGGCGGACGGGUGAGUAAUGCUUGGGAAUCUGCCUGUUAGUGGGGGACAACCCGGGGAAACUCGGGCUAAUACCGCAUACGCACUACGGUGGAAAGCCGGGGACCGCAAGGCCUGGCGCUAACAGAUGAGCCCAAGUCGGAUUAGCUAGUUGGUAGGGUAACGGCCACCAAGGCGACGAUCCGUAACUGGUCUGAGAGGACGACCAGUCACACCGGAACUGAGACACGGUCCGGACUCCUACGGGAGGCAGCAGUGGGGAAUAUUGGACAAUGGGGAAACCCUGAUCCAGCGACGCCGCGUGGGUGAAGAAGGCCUGCGGGUUGUAAAGCCCUUUCAGUGGGGAAGAAAAGCCUCGACCUAACACGUCGGGGUCUUGACGUAACCCCAUAGAAGAAGCACCGGCUAACUCUGUGCCAGCAG
This 490-nucleotide ribosomal RNA is filed under the name uncultured bacterium. RNAcentral's name for it is "bacterial SSU rRNA". It matches the Rfam family "Bacterial small subunit ribosomal RNA", at positions 29 to 514 of the family's 1533-position model. The record is from RNAcentral.